RNAcentral lists this ribosomal RNA (495 nucleotides) under uncultured bacterium. RNAcentral's name for it is "partial 16S ribosomal RNA". It matches the Rfam family "Bacterial small subunit ribosomal RNA", at positions 899 to 1397 of the family's 1533-position model. The record is from RNAcentral.
ACUCAAAGGAAUAGACGGGGGCCCGCACAAGCGGUGGAGCAUGUGGUUUAAUUCGACGCAACGCGCAGAACCUUACCCAGACUUGACAUGCUUGGAAGUCGGCCCAAAAGCUGAUGUGCUCGCAAGAGAACCAAGACACAGGUGCUGCAUGGCUGUCGUCAGCUCGUGUCGUGAGAUGUUGGGUUAAGUCCCGCAACGAGCGCAACCCUCGCCGUUAGUUGCUUCGCAAGAAGAUCUCUAACGGGACCGCCAGUGAUAAGCUGGAGGAAGGUGGGGAUGACGUCAAGUCCUCAUGGCCUUUAUGUCUGGGGCUACACACGUGCUACAAUGGCGAGUACAAAGCGUUGCCAACCCGCAAGGGGGAGCUAAUCGCAUAAAACUCGUCUCAGUUCGGAUUGGAGUCUGAAACUCGACUCCAUGAAGUCGGAAUCGCUAGUAAUCGUAGAUCAGCACGCUACGGUGAAUACGUUCCCGGGCCUUGUACACACCGCCCGU